AUACUUACCUGGCAGGGGAGAUACCAUGAUCACGAAGGUGGUUUUCCCAGAGUGAGGCUCAUCCAUUGCACUCCGGGUGUGCUGACCCCUGCGAUUUCCCCAAAUGCGGGAAACUCGACUGCAUAAUUUGUGGUAGUGGGGGACCGCGUACGCACUUUCUCCUA
This 164-nucleotide small nuclear RNA is filed under the name Tupaia belangeri (northern tree shrew). RNAcentral's name for it is "U1 spliceosomal RNA (ENSTBEG00000018343.1)". It matches the Rfam family "U1 spliceosomal RNA". From Rfam's summary of the family: U1 is a small nuclear RNA (snRNA) component of the spliceosome (involved in pre-mRNA splicing). Lineage: Eukaryota; Metazoa; Chordata; Mammalia; Scandentia; Tupaiidae. The record is from RNAcentral.